GACGAACGCUGGCGGCGUGCCUAAUACAUGCAAGUCGAACGCAGGGGGGACGGGUGAGUAACACGUGGGUAACCUCCCAUCAGAGGGGAUAACACUUGGAAACAGGCGCUAAUCCGAUACGGAUGGAUGGACCCGCGGUGCAUUAGCUAGUUGGUGGGGUAACGGCUCACCAAGGCCACGAUGCAUCGCCGGCCUGAGAGGGUGAGCGGCCACACUGGGACUGAGACACGGCCCAGACUCCUACGGGAGGCAGCAGUGGGGAAUCUUGGGCAAUGGACGAAAGGCUGACCGAGCAACGCCGCGUGAGUGAAGAAGGUUUUCGGAUCGUAAAGCUCUGUUGUUAGGGAGGCGGUAUCUAACCAGGAAGCCACGGCUAACUACGUGCCAGCAGCCGCGGUAAUUC
This 403-nucleotide ribosomal RNA is filed under the name uncultured bacterium. RNAcentral's name for it is "partial 16S ribosomal RNA". It matches the Rfam family "Bacterial small subunit ribosomal RNA", at positions 28 to 526 of the family's 1533-position model. The record is from RNAcentral.